UUGGAGGGCAAGUCUGGUGCCAGCAGCCGCGGUAAUUCCAGCUCCAAUAGCGUAUAUUAAAGUUGUUGCAGUUAAAAAGCUCGUAGUUGAAUUUCGGGAUUAGUACGCUGGUCGUGCCUUCGGUACGUACUGGUGUUACUGAUUUCUACCUUCUGACGAACCAUCAUGUCAUUAGUUUGGUGUGGUGGGGAAUCAGGACUGUUACUUUGAAAAAAUUAGAGUGUUUAAAGCAGGCCCGCGCUUGAAUACAUUAGCAUGGAAUAAUGAAAUAGGACGUUGAUCCUAUUUUGUUGGUUUCUAGGAUUGACGUAAUGAUUAAUAGGGAUAGUUGGGGGCAUUAGUAUUCAAUUGUCAGAGGUGAAAUUCUUGGAUUUAUUGAAGACUAACUACUGCGAAAGCAUUUGCCAAGGAUGUUUUCAUUAAUCAAGAACGAAAGUUAGGGGAUCGAAGACGAUCAGAUACCGUCGUAGUCUUAACCAUAAACUAUGCCGACUAGGGAUCGGAUGAUGUUAUUUUUAAUGACUCAUUCGGCGCCUUACGGGAAAC
Molecule: ribosomal RNA, 546 nt
Filed under: uncultured Glomeromycotina
Lineage: Eukaryota; Fungi; Glomeromycota
Description: SSU rRNA
Rfam family: Eukaryotic small subunit ribosomal RNA
Source: RNAcentral